AGUGAACGCUGGCGGUAGGCCUAACACAUGCAAGUCGAACGGCAGCGCAGUAAGAGCUUGCUCUUACGGGUGGCGAGUGGCGGACGGGUGAGGAAUACAUCGGAAUCUACUUUUUCGUGGGGGAUAACGUAGGGAAACUUACGCUAAUACCGCAUACGACCUACGGGUGAAAGCAGGGGAUCUUCGGACCUUGCGCGAUUGAAUGAGCCGAUGUCGGAUUAGCUAGUUGGCGGGGUAAAGGCCCACCAAGGCGACGAUCCGUAGCUGGUCUGAGAGGAUGAUCAGCCACACUGGAACUGAGACACGGUCCAGACUCCUACGGGAGGCAGCAGUGGGGAAUAUUGGACAAUGGGCGCAAGCCUGAUCCAGCCAUACCGCGUGGGUGAAGAAGGCCUUCGGGUUGUAAAGCCCCUUUGUUGGGAAAGAAAAGCAGCAGGUUAAUACCCCGCUGUUCUGACGGUACCCAAAGAAUAAGCACCGGCUAACUUCGUG
Molecule: ribosomal RNA, 492 nt
Filed under: uncultured bacterium
Lineage: Bacteria
Description: partial 16S ribosomal RNA
Rfam family: Bacterial small subunit ribosomal RNA
Source: RNAcentral